Molecule: long non-coding RNA, 1004 nt
Organism: Raphanus sativus (radish)
Lineage: Eukaryota; Viridiplantae; Streptophyta; Magnoliopsida; Brassicales; Brassicaceae
Exons: 2
Source: RefSeq, a predicted model, not a curated record
AUAUAUCAUACUCCAAUUUCACCAAUAUCAUAAACUCUAACUAAAAUCUUAAAACUAAUAAUUUUUAUUAAUUAAUUUCAAAUUUUAAAUUGUUUAUAAAGUAAAAUUCAAAAAGUAAAUAUAAAGAAACAUAUUAAUGUACAGAAAACAUAACAAAACCCUAAAACAGUUUAAUUAUAAAUUUGCAAGGAAAUUGCAAUGGUUCUCUCGCAAAUCUAUUGCAAAUUUGCAAGGAAUUAAGUUCCGUCGCAAUUUCCAGAACUAGGGUUCGUAUAUAAUUACAUAAACCUAAUGCUCUUCAUUUGUUCGAGCCGUCAAGAAAAAAACCAAUUUUUUUUUUAAUCUUUUCUCUCCUCUCGCUGGACCUCUCUCUGGUCGCCUCCUCUCCUCAAGCCGGAUCUCUCUCGCUCUCCCGUGUUUGCUCUCUCAUGCUUACCUCCAUGGCUCCUCUCCGACCACACCACCAGAUCUCUACUCGCCGACGGCUCUCCUCUCUUCUCACACCGCCGGAUCUCCUCUUUCUCUCUCACGCCGGCUCACCUCUCUCUGUCUUUCACACCAAUGAACGUUACUCCACAAAGCUCGUGCUCAGCGUCCCACCACCACCACGGAAUGUAGAAGCAGUCACCAAACCACCACACCACGGUUAGAUUUGAUUUCUUUCAUUUGGUAAAGGAAGUUGAAGGAUGGAGAAGAAGCUUGAUGGUUGAAGAGAUAAGGGGAGCCGUGGUCGCAGGGGUGGUGGUGCGGCUGGUGGUGCGGCGAAGGAGGCCAGAAGCGGAGGAGUCAUGGAGGCGGCUCUUUCAUUUUAGGGUUCGAGAUUCUUUUAGAAUUAGAAUUGAUUAAGUUUAGUUAGCUUUAAUCCGGUUUAAUCAACUAAACUGGUUUAAUUAACUAAACCGGCUUGUUGUAAAUUAACUUUUGUUUUAAGAUUUUUAUAUAUUCAUGUAUUUACAUUUAUCUAAAUGUAUCAGUUUAAUAUAUAUUAUAUAAUUUAUUUGUAA